Long non-coding RNA from Salvelinus namaycush (lake trout), 656 nucleotides. RefSeq lists it as uncharacterized. Lineage: Eukaryota; Metazoa; Chordata; Actinopteri; Salmoniformes; Salmonidae. The record is from RefSeq and is a predicted model, not a curated record. The transcript is spliced from 4 exons.
UAACAAGAAAUCUGUGGAGUGGUUGAAAAACGAGUUUUAAUAACUCCAACCUAAGUGUAUGUCAACUUCCGACUUCAACUGUACAUGCCCACUUUUGCCGAUGAUGCCCAAAUUGCCCAGAAACAACACAUUGUGGUCUUUCCUCAGCUGCCAUGUGGACAUUUGUUGUCAAGUUUGCAUAUGGGUGACACACACGCACAUUUCACUCGGCAAAUUGGAGGGACAAUUUGCUUCCAUAAAGUUGAACAAGACUUCCAAUGCAUUUCAACAAUAUUGCCAAAUGGCCAAGAAUGGAUUUCCUCCGACACGGUCACUUCUGCCGCAUGUCAACCGUGAAACCGCUGGUGUUGGCUACGUACAAAACCUACCAUAUCAGGAGCUGUUACAGAAGGCUGAGGCAGUGGCCAGACACCAGUCCUGCUUCAGAGUAAUGGAGGACACUUGAAUAAGCUGGGUCAGAUAUAGGAGCCUAAGUCAGGCUCCUUUAUGACCAGUAUCUGUGACAAGAGGGACCUGGAGCCGAUCUACGCUGCCACGGACUUCAGAUGGAGGACAGAAGAGAUUCUUUUGAAAUGGAGUCCUCAGGUUGAUAUUGAUGUUUGAACUGGGACAGAGAUCUUGCACUCAAGCAUUCAAAUUAUACAAGACAUCUACUA